Molecule: ribosomal RNA, 465 nt
Filed under: uncultured bacterium
Lineage: Bacteria
Description: partial 16S ribosomal RNA
Rfam family: Bacterial small subunit ribosomal RNA
Source: RNAcentral
GACGAACGCUGGCGGCGUGCUUAACACAUGCAAGUCGAACGGAAAGGCCCUGCUUGCAGGGUACUCGAGUGGCGAACGGGUGAGUAACACGUGGGUGAUCUGCCCUGCACUUCGGGAUAAGCCUGGGAAACUGGGUCUAAUACCGGAUAGGAGCCAUUUUUUGUGUGAUGGUUUGAACGUUUUUUCGGUGUAGGAUGAGCUCGCGGCCUAUCAGCUUGUUGGUGGGGUAAUGGCCUACCAAGGCGGCGACGGGUAGCCGGCCUGAGAGGGUGGACGGCCACAAUGGGACGGAGAGACGGACCAGACGCCUACGGGAGGCAGCAGUGGGGAAUAGUGCACAAUGGGCGCAAGCCUGAUGCAGCGAAGCCGCGUGGGGGAUGACGGCCUUCGGGUUGUAAACUCCGUUCGCUAGGGACGAAGCUUUUUGUGACGGUACCUAGAUAAGAAGCACCGGCUAACUACGUG